This 1773-nucleotide long non-coding RNA is filed under the name Homo sapiens (human). Its description in RNAcentral is "HSALNT0323365". Lineage: Eukaryota; Metazoa; Chordata; Mammalia; Primates; Hominidae. The record is from RNAcentral.
AUUUAGCUCUCCCUCUCCCUCUCUCCCUCUCUCCCUCUCCCCACAGUCUCCCUCUCCCUCUCUUUCCACGGUCUCCCUCUGAUGCCGAGCCGAAGCUGGACUGUACUGCUGCCAUCUUGGCUCACUGCAACCUCCCUGCCUGAUUCUCCUGCCUCAGCCUGCCGAGUGCCUGCGAUUGCAGGCGCGCGCCACCACGCCUGACUGGUUUUCGUAUUUUUUUGGUGGAGACGGGGUUUCGCUGUGUUGGCCGGGCUGGUCUCCAGCUCCUAACCGCGAGUGAUCCGCCAGCCUCGGCCUCCCGAGGUGCCGGGAUUGCAGACGGAGUCUCGUUCACUCAGUGCUCAAUGGUGCCCAGGCUGGAGUGCAGUGUCGUGAUCUCGGCUCACUACAACCUCCACCUCCCAGCCGCCUGCCUUGGUCUCCCAAAGUGCCGAGAUUGCAGCCUCUGCCCGGCCGCCACCCAGUCUGGGAAGUGAGGAGCGUCUCUGCCUGGCCGCCCAUCGACUGGGAUGUGAGGAGCCCCUCUGCCUGGCUGCCCAGUCUGGAAAGUGAGGAGCGUCUCUGCCCAGCCGCCAUCCCAUCUAGGAAGUGAGGAGUGUCUCUGCCCGGCCGCCCAUCGUCUGAGAUGUGGGGAGCGCCUCUACCCUGCCGCCCGGUCCGGGAUGUGAGGAGCAUCUCUGCCCGGCCGCCCUGUCUGAGAAGUGAGGAGACCCUCUGCCUGGCAACCGCCCCAUCUGAGAAGUGAGGAGCCCCUCCGCCCGGCAGCCGCCCUGUCUGAGAAGUGAGGAGCCCCUCCGCCCAGCAGCCACCCCGUCUGGGAAGUGAGGAGCGUCUCCGCCCGGCAGCCACCUCGUCCGGGAGGGAGGUGGGGGGGUCAGCCCCCCGCCCGGCCAGCCGCCCCGUCCGGGAGGGAGGUGGGGGGGUCAGCCCCCUGCCCGGCCAGCCACCCCGUCCGGGAGGGAGGUGGGGGCGUCAGCCCCCCGCCCGACCAGCCGCACCGUCCGGGAGGUGAGGGGCGCCUCUGCCCGGCCGCCCCUACUGGGAAGUGAGGAGCCCCUCUGCCCGGCCAGCCACCCCGUCCGGGAGGGAGGUGGGGGGGGGGGGUCAGCCCCGUGCCCGGCCAGCCGCCCUGUCCGGGAGGUGAGGGGCGCCUCUGCCUGGCUGCCCCUACUGGGAAGUGAGGAGCCCCUCUUCCCGGCCACCACCCCGUCUGGGAGGUGUACCCAACAGCUCACUGAGAACGGGCCAUGAUGACAAUGGCGGUUUUGUGGAAUAGAAAGGGGGGAAAGGUGGGGAAAUGAUUGAGAAAUCGGAUGGUUGCCGUGUCUGUGUAGAAAGAGGUAGACAUGGGAGACUUUUCAUUUUGUUCUGUACUAAGAAAAAUUCUUCUGCCUUGGGAUCCUGUUGAUCUGUGACCUUACCCCCAACCCUGUGCUCUCUGAAACAUGUGCUGUAUCCACUCAGGGUUGAAUGGAUUAAGGGCGGUGCAAGAUGUGCUUUGUUAAACAGAUGCUUGAAGGUAGCAUGCUCGUUAAGAGUCAUCACCACUCCCUAAUCUCAAGUCCAGGGACACAAACACUGCGGAAGGCCGAAGGGUCCUCUGCCUAGGAAAACCAGAGACCUUUGUUCACUUGUUUAUCUGCUGACCUUCCCUCCACUAUUGUCCUGUGACCCUGCCAAAUCCCCCUCUGCGAGAAACACCCAAGAAUGAUCAAUAAAAAAAUAAAAUAAAAUAAAAUAAAAUAAAAUAAAAAAAGAGUUCCUCCUGCCUUG